CCUACGGGAGGCAGCAGUGGGGAAUAUUGGACAAUGGGCGAAAGCCUGAUCCAGCCAUGCCGCGUGUGUGAAGAAGGUCUUCGGAUUGUAAAGCACUUUAAGUUGGGAGGAAGGGUUGUAGAUUAAUACUCUGCAAUUUUGACGUUACCGACAGAAUAAGCACCGGCUAACUCUGUGCCAGCAGCCGCGGUAAUACAGAGGGUGCAAGCGUUAAUCGGAAUUACUGGGCGUAAAGCGCGCGUAGGUGGUUUGUUAAGUUGGAUGUGAAAUCCCCGGGCUCAACCUGGGAACUGCAUUCAAAACUGACUGACUAGAGUAUGGUAGAGGGUGGUGGAAUUUCCUGUGUAGCGGUGAAAUGCGUAGAUAUAGGAAGGAACACCAGUGGCGAAGGCGACCACCUGGACUAAUACUGACACUGAGGUGCGAAAGCGUGGGGAGCAAACAGGAUUAGAUACCCUGGUAGUCCACGCCGUAAACGAUGUCAACUAGCCGUUAGGAAGUCCUUGUAGUCGUUUAGUUGGUCGCGAGCGUACGACAUUAAGUUAGUACCGCCGUCGGGGAGGUACGGCCGGCCGAACGGUUAAACGUAACGAAAGGAAAGUUAGUACGGCGUGAGACGUAGCCGACGGACGACGACGAGGGAGGUUAGGG
Molecule: ribosomal RNA, 651 nt
Filed under: uncultured bacterium
Lineage: Bacteria
Description: bacterial SSU rRNA
Rfam family: Bacterial small subunit ribosomal RNA (bases 1-553)
Source: RNAcentral